AAUUUUCCUCAAUGUUACAGUUUUUCAUUUCAAUUUCUCGUAGAUUUAGCUGGAGAUUUUCAUUGUCCUAAGAGACAGUCUCCUAAACCUGCAGGCUCAGUGCCUGGACGUGGUAGCCAUGGACCAGUUGGGACUUCAGAAGAAGACUGGAAAAAUCCAGAAGGCUCAGCAGGAGAAGAGUGAACUGCCUGCUGGAGCUCGGAGCAGGUACUAUUCCUCCCCAAGAAGACCUUAACAACACUUCUCCAACCACAGAGCACCUUUCUGCACUGUUGCCACUUGCUAUGUUGACAGACACAUAAGUUUCUUAGCUGAAAAGAUGGUGAACAAAUUUUCUUUGGUAUCACCUGCCCCAGCCUACUCCAGCUACUCCAAGGACCACUCUGUCCCAUUACACUUUUCAGCAGAGAACAAUAUUACAGAAACUGAACUGUGAAGAUAAUGUUACUUCAAAAAAUCUUGUGAAAAGUGAUGUUCCGCAAUGCACCGUCAAGACCCUGAUCACGAUCCUAAAAGGAGCAGCUCCAUGUGUCAUUGCAAAGCUCAGUCUGUCCCCCUGUGAAGGUAACAUCUGAAUUUACG
This 582-nucleotide long non-coding RNA is filed under the name Calidris pugnax (ruff). Its description in RNAcentral is "lncRNA (ENSCPUG00000018900.1)". Lineage: Eukaryota; Metazoa; Chordata; Aves; Charadriiformes; Scolopacidae. The record is from RNAcentral.